RNAcentral lists this ribosomal RNA (257 nucleotides) under uncultured prokaryote. RNAcentral describes it as "partial 16S ribosomal RNA". It matches the Rfam family "Bacterial small subunit ribosomal RNA", at positions 524 to 780 of the family's 1533-position model. The record is from RNAcentral.
UACGGAGGAUGCAAGCGUUAUCCGGAUUCAUUGGGUUUAAAGGGUGCGUAGGUGGGCUAUUAAGUCAGUGGUGAAAUCCUGCAGCUUAACUGCAGAACUGCCGUUGAUACUGAUAGUCUUGAGUUUGGUUAAGGUAGGCGGAAUGUGUAAUGUAGCGGUGAAAUGCUUAGAUAUUACACAGAACACCAAUUGCGUAGGCAGCUUACUGAGCCGACACUGACGCUGAGGCACGAAAGCGUGGGGAUCAAACAGGAUUA